UGUCGUCAGCUCGUGUCGUGAGAUGUGGUUAAGUCCGCAACGAGCGCAACCCUUAUCUUUAAUUGCCAGCAUUCAGUUUGGCACUUUAAAGAGACUGCCGGUGUUAAACCGGAGGAAGGUGGGGAUGACGUCAAGUCCUCAUGGCCUUUAUGCUUAGGGCUACACACGUGCUACAAUGGGUGGUACAAAGAGAAGCCAACUCGCGAGAGCGCGCCAAUCUCAAAAAGCCAUCCUCAGUUCGGAUUGGAGUCUGCAACUCGACUCCAUGAAGUUGGAAUCGCUAGUAAUCGCGGAUCAGCAUGCCGCGGUGAAUACGUUCCCGGGCCUU
RNAcentral lists this ribosomal RNA (328 nucleotides) under uncultured Smithella sp. RNAcentral describes it as "bacterial SSU rRNA". It matches the Rfam family "Bacterial small subunit ribosomal RNA", at positions 1050 to 1382 of the family's 1533-position model. The record is from RNAcentral. Lineage: Bacteria; Pseudomonadati; Thermodesulfobacteriota; Syntrophia; Syntrophales; Smithellaceae.